UACGUAGGGUGCAAGCGUUGUCCGGAAUUAUUGGGCGUAAAGAGCUCGUAGGCGGUCUGUCGCGUCUGCUGUGAAAACUCAGGGCUUAACCCUGAGCUUGCAGUGGGUACGGGCAGACUAGAGUGCGGUAGGGGAGACUGGAAUUCCCGGUGUAGUGGUGAAAUGCGUAGAUAUCGGGAGGAACACCAGUGGCGAAGGCGACUUUCUGGCCUGUUCUUGACGCUGAGGCGCGAAAGCUAGGGUAGCAAACGGG
Molecule: ribosomal RNA, 253 nt
Filed under: uncultured bacterium
Lineage: Bacteria
Description: partial 16S ribosomal RNA
Rfam family: Bacterial small subunit ribosomal RNA
Source: RNAcentral